Molecule: non-coding RNA, 243 nt
Organism: Equus caballus (horse)
Lineage: Eukaryota; Metazoa; Chordata; Mammalia; Perissodactyla; Equidae
Source: RefSeq, a predicted model, not a curated record
GACUCGCAGCCAUUGAGGCAGGGCCUGGAGGAGGCCUGGGCCACCCUCUCCUCUCCAGCUUCUCUGGGGUAGGCGAGCAGACGGACCUGCAGCCCAGGGCCACCAGGCCGAGGUGGGCAGAGGUCUCUCUCAGCCAUGCUGGACCCUCCAGCAGCCUUGAGCAGGCUCUGUGACCAGCCCCAGCAUCUUCCCGCUGAGCCUCCGGAAAAAUGACUCAGGUGACCCUGUGGUCAUCGCCUGCCU